GUUAGAGCUCCCCCUGGUCCUCUCUCCCUCCCCUGCCGGCUGUCAGCAAAGUGCUAGCGGGCCAGAGAGGGAGAUCUCUUAUCUCCCCUCUGGUCCUGCAGACUCGGCAGGGGAGAGCACAGUUCCUGGUGCUACCAUCAUAGCAUCGGGAAAAUAACUUGCUGCACACAGUUGGGGAACUGCUGCUCUACUAAUAAUUUAAUAAGCAUUGAGGUCAUUCUUUAAAUUGCACUGUGCGUGUCUCUUAAAAUCACGGCUUAAAGAAGCUACUUAUUAGACUUGGGCACUGCAAAAAUAUAAUAAAAAGAUGUGUCCUUGUAGCAUAAUGUCUGACCCAUCCAAAGCCUUUUUUUGCAGGGGGCAUCCAGUCCCCCUUCAUUUUAAUACCCACCUUGAUCCUAGCGGUAGGAUUGGUGGACAGUAGUAUGUCCAAACCAUUUGUUAUAAUGGCCAGAAGGGGGUGGGCAUUUGCAUAAUCACAUUCCCAAUGAUUUUAAACAACCCCCACCUGCUGCCCGCAUGUGUGAGGGGAACGAUGUCAUCUACCCCAUCUAUCCUAUUCUUUUAUUGGCCAAACAUAAGAGGGGAGAAAUGUAGCAAUACACUCACAGUAUGGUGGAUGGAUUUAUGGGAGGGAUUACACAUCCUUUAUACUAACAUGGGGGUCAUAUUGACAACGAUGCUUGUUGAAAAUAUUGUUGGUAUGUGGCUUUAAGCUGUGAAAAGGUUACUAUAAACUUGUUAUAUUUGAGAACAUGUGUCUGGAUAACAGUUGAAUGAAAUUACUUUUUAAAGGAAAAUUCCUUAUGAAAAAACAAAA
Pelobates cultripes (western spadefoot toad) is the source of this 820-nucleotide non-coding RNA. NCBI's taxonomy places the organism in Eukaryota, Metazoa, Chordata, Amphibia, Anura, Pelobatidae. The record is from the annotation of a GenBank genome assembly.